This 216-nucleotide long non-coding RNA is filed under the name Capsicum annuum. RNAcentral describes it as "long non-coding RNA (CANN_LNC012058)". Lineage: Eukaryota; Viridiplantae; Streptophyta; Magnoliopsida; Solanales; Solanaceae. The record is from RNAcentral.
GAACUCGUCCGUAUACCUCUUCCACCUAAAUUCAACCUUUGCCAAUUGAGCAAAGAGCUGGGGCGGAUGGUUUUCUUUCAACUUUACGCAAAAAGAAGGUGCAUGUCCAAGAAAAACCAAAAAACCAGGCAUUUCAAUUCACCACAGGAGAGAAAGUAUUCAAACUGUUAUCCUCAUUUCGCGUGUGUCCGCCAGUAUGCACGUAAAUGAAAAUCA